GGGGUUGUAGCUCAGAUGGUUAGAGCGGUGGCUUGAAAACCCACAGGUCGGACGUUCGACUCGUCCCGGCCCCACCA
RNAcentral lists this transfer RNA (77 nucleotides) under Pseudomonas phage UAVern. RNAcentral's name for it is "tRNA-Phe". It matches the Rfam family "tRNA". Rfam says of the family: Transfer RNA (tRNA) molecules are approximately 80 nucleotides in length. Their secondary structure includes four short double-helical elements and three loops (D, anti-codon, and T loops). Further hydrogen bonds mediate the characteristic L-shaped molecular structure. tRNAs have two regions of fundamental functional importance: the anti-codon, which is responsible for specific mRNA codon recognition, and the 3' end, to which the tRNAs corresponding amino acid is attached (by aminoacyl-tRNA synthetases). tRNAs cope with the degeneracy of the genetic code in two manners: having more than one tRNA (with a specific anti-codon) for a particular amino acid; and 'wobble' base-pairing, i.e. permitting non-standard base-pairing at the 3rd anti-codon position. The record is from RNAcentral. Lineage: Duplodnaviria; Heunggongvirae; Uroviricota; Caudoviricetes; Vandenendeviridae.